Molecule: transfer RNA, 73 nt
Filed under: Camelus bactrianus (Bactrian camel)
Lineage: Eukaryota; Metazoa; Chordata; Mammalia; Artiodactyla; Camelidae
Also listed under: 2 other names
Rfam family: tRNA
About the family: Transfer RNA (tRNA) molecules are approximately 80 nucleotides in length. Their secondary structure includes four short double-helical elements and three loops (D, anti-codon, and T loops).
Source: Rfam by way of RNAcentral
GAGGGUAUAGCUCAAUUGGUAGAGUGCUUGCUUAGCAUACAUGAGGUCCUGGGUUUAAUCCCCAGUACCUCCG